AUGGGUAACCUACCCCGGGGACGUGGAUAGCCUUCCUAACGGAAGGGUAAUACACGGCGAUCUGGUCGGGAGACAUCUCCUGUCCAGGAAAUGAAUUUCGCCUCGGGAGGGGCUCAUGUCGUAUUAGCUUGUUGGUGAGGUAACGGCUCACCAAGGCAAAGAUGCGUAGCGGGUGUGAGAGCACGACCCGCGCCACUGGCACUGAGACACUGGCCAGACUCCUACGGGAGGCUGCAGUCGAGGAUCUUUGGCAAUGGGCGCAAGCCUGACCAAGCGACGCCGCGUGUGCGAUGAAGGCCUUCGGGUUGUAAAGCACUGUCGAGGGGGAGUAAGCCCGCAAGGGUUGAACUAUCCCUGGAGGAAGCACGGGCUAAGUUCGUGCCAGCAGCCGCGGUAAGACGAACCGUGCGAACGUUGUUCGGAAUCACUGGGCUUAAAGGGCGCGUAGGCGGGUGUGCAAGUCUGUGGUGAAAGCCUCCAGCUUAACUGGAGAAGUGCCAUGGAUACUGCACAUCUU
This 517-nucleotide ribosomal RNA is filed under the name uncultured Planctomycetota bacterium. Its description in RNAcentral is "bacterial SSU rRNA". It matches the Rfam family "Bacterial small subunit ribosomal RNA", at positions 117 to 643 of the family's 1533-position model. Lineage: Bacteria; Pseudomonadati; Planctomycetota. The record is from RNAcentral.